AGUCCCGAGGUGAUUUGUCACAUUGAAUUGCAAAUUCAAAGGAGCAGCUUCAAUCCUGCCGGGGCUU
Molecule: transfer RNA, 67 nt
Filed under: Ochotona himalayana (Himalayan pika)
Lineage: Eukaryota; Metazoa; Chordata; Mammalia; Lagomorpha; Ochotonidae
Description: tRNA-Cys
Rfam family: tRNA
About the family: Transfer RNA (tRNA) molecules are approximately 80 nucleotides in length.
Source: RNAcentral